This 31-nucleotide non-coding RNA is filed under the name Rattus norvegicus (Norway rat). Lineage: Eukaryota; Metazoa; Chordata; Mammalia; Rodentia; Muridae. The record is from RNAcentral.
UCUUACUUGCAGAAGUGAGAUGCUGUUCAGG